Molecule: long non-coding RNA, 263 nt
Organism: Oncorhynchus tshawytscha (Chinook salmon)
Lineage: Eukaryota; Metazoa; Chordata; Actinopteri; Salmoniformes; Salmonidae
Source: Ensembl
GGGGGCAGAGAGGAGAGACAGGGGCAGAGAGGAGAGACAGGGGCAGAGACAGGGGCAGAGGGGAGAGCCGGGGCAGAGGGGGAGAGACGGGGGCAGAGGGGAGAGACGGGGGCAGAGGGGAGAGACUGGGGCAGAGGGGAGAGACUGGGGCAGAGGGGAGAGACUGGGGCAGAGGGGAGAGACAGGGUCAGAGACAAGGGCAGAGAGGAGAGACAGAGGGGAGAGACAAGGGCAGAGACAGGGGCAGAGAGGAGAGAGACAGG